Acanthosepion pharaonis is the source of this 99-nucleotide non-coding RNA. The record is from the annotation of a GenBank genome assembly. NCBI's taxonomy places the organism in Eukaryota, Metazoa, Mollusca, Cephalopoda, Sepiida, Sepiidae.
GUUGAAACACCGGUUCCCGUACUAUUAUCGAAGUUAAGCAACCUCGAAACUGGUCAGUACCGACAUGGGUGACCGCUUGGGAAUACAAGGUGCUGUAAG